UGAACAUCAGGAAGCUCAUUCUCAAGCAGGUCAGACUUUUUAAAACUUUGAGAAAAUGUAAAAAAAAAUCAGUCCUGAUAAAUCGGUCUCGGGACUGAAAAUUUUUCACUUUCAUUUGUGGGCGCAGAAUUAGGUCCGGCAUUUCAUUUUUCUUUGUCAAUAAAGAUCAUUGUCUUGCUUAUUGGCAAGCCACGAGGAGUGAAUUUGUCAUAACCGCAAACAUGCACUUCAACGACACACAUGUACACACCCACGUACACACGAGCUCGUGCGCACAUACAGUUCUCAUAUUCUUGAGGACAGCUGCAGGGGUGUGGAAGCCUUGGGAAAAUGGAUUGUGGAAUCAAGCCAAUCAACUUCCUCUGUAGCCAGCACCUGUUUGUCUGUAUCUGCUGCUGUUAUUUCACAAUACAGGGCGAUUAUAGAAAUGCACAGAGAUUAAUACGCAGAUUCUGUAAGCAAAGACUAUAGAUUACUGUCAUAAACACUUUUUUUUCCAAGUGAAGUCACACCGUACAGUAAGUAGGUAUGAUUUUGUGCUUGCAUGUUUGUCACUCGGAUUUAUUCAACAGAGAUUAUGCAAAUUUGAGUCUAUUACACAUCCUGGCCUAAUUCACUAAACCCCGUUCUAAUUAAGACACACAUCCACUAUAAAAAAAAAAAAACAACAACACGCGCUGCUACACAGACACACACACUACAAUAAUAAUGUGUUACCUUGAAAUAUUCCCUGGACCAAAAAGAGAGAUGAAGAGAUGCUGAGAUGAUGACAGUUAAUACGCCUUGAUGUUUUUGUCACUUCGACAACAGAAAUCUGUGUGUGCGUGCAUGUGUGUGCGCACAUGUGUCAGUGUGUGUCAUCAGAGAGGCUGUGCACGUGUGUGCAUGAGCUGAGGGGGGGGUAGACGAUCUUCUCUGAAGCAGCCCAGGCAGGCAUCAGCACUCAAUCAUCCCAGAUCUGCCAGACGACACCAGCAGAGAAAACACAUUACCCGUGUCGUGUCGCCUCGUCUUCUUCUGUUGUCUUCUCUUUAUUAUAUUUAGGGCUGCUUUGCCUCAGGGUCAGGUGACAAUCUGCAUUCUCUUUCUGCAAGUUUUCUCAAAACUGUCUGGAGUUUUUAUAUUUAUUUAUUUAUUUAUUUUUUUGCAUUUUUUCAACCAUUUUUUUUCUGCUGCUCUGUUAAAGGGGAUCUGUUGAUGGUUUUUAAUCCCUACAUGAGUCCCUUUGCAGAUGACUCUGCUGGCAUGGUGUCAGAAAGAAACUAACAGAGAGCAGCGCUACGCAUUAGACAAAAGAUGAAUACCCUCAGAAGGGAGGGAGGGAAUAGAGGGAAGAGGCAAAGAGCCCAUUUGAAGUGCUUGUCUAAGUUUUAGUAAAAAAUGAGUUCUUUAUAACGUAUAUAAAUAUAUAAAUGCAACACUUAAAGACAUUAUCAGGCACUUUCAUUCCCCCUGCCUUUUGUGUGCUGGUUGAGGUGGGAAACAGAAGGGAAGUAAACACAUCUGCAUAUCUGAGUCAUUGGUUCCAAGGGAGCUGUUAUGGGCUGUCUCUGCAAAUCUCUUCUCUGCGUUGCUUAUAGCCCACCAGCAACAAAGUCUCCCCCCCACACCGCUGAUGCCGGGUCAGAUAAUUCAACGCGCUUUUAACUGAUGUGGUUAGAUCUGAGGGUGGCAAAUCUGAUUUCAGAUCUCCUGAUUUCAAGUGGCUCCGCACCUUUUUUAGGUUAUCUUUUCUCAGAUUGGAAAACAUGUGCCCACGGUCUAAAGCAGAGAAAGGCGGCAUAUGUGUCGCUGCCGUUUAGUGUCCAGUUGACGGUAAGUUGGCACAGUUGGUGUAACAGAGUGGGCCAAGACCGGUCAGGCCCUCUGUCUGCACGGUAGCCAUCACCU
Astatotilapia calliptera (eastern happy) is the source of this 1890-nucleotide long non-coding RNA. The record is from Ensembl. NCBI's taxonomy places the organism in Eukaryota, Metazoa, Chordata, Actinopteri, Cichliformes, Cichlidae.